Molecule: long non-coding RNA, 931 nt
Filed under: Capsicum annuum
Lineage: Eukaryota; Viridiplantae; Streptophyta; Magnoliopsida; Solanales; Solanaceae
Description: long non-coding RNA (CANN_LNC000846)
Source: RNAcentral
AACUUUUAUCCAUGAUCACCUGUACAAGCAAAUGAAUAUCAUAGGAAUUUAAUCCUUUACGGUAACUGUUUGUUUUAUAAUUUUUUACAAAAUGCUUAAAUACGGUACCUACCCUGCCCCAUUAUUUCACAUAUUGAAUUUUCCUUGUCUUGUCCCACUCAAUUUAGACCUUGUCAACCCCUGCCUUCCCUAUUUCCACCUCUACUUAUGACAAAUCAAUUAUAAGAUCAUAACUUAGUAUUUUGAUAUAAAGAAUCAAAUAUAGAAAACUAGACAAAAGAUCUCUUGCAUAAUAUUAAGUCACAUGUUUGUAAGGUUUAGCACAUUUUAGAGUGACACAACACUAAAUUUCCUAAAUUUUUGUGGUGCUUGGGCUGCACAAUUUUUGCCUUUUAUUUUCGUAAAUGGCAAUUUUGUGCUUUUUAGCUCGUGUUAGUACUUGAACUAUCCUUUUCAAUUGAAACUGGACUGCUCACGUGACUUAUUUACACCAUAUAUUUCAAAACUCCCUUAUCUAAAUAUAAUAUAAUAAACCCCAAACUAAAAAGUUACAAUAUUGAACAAGAUUAGAAUAAACAAAAAGAUAGGAAAUUGAGGAAAUUGAACUAAAUUAACUCACCUAAAUGUAAAAUCAUAAACCCCAAACAAAAAUGUACCAAUCUUGAGAAAAUUUAGGAUUACAAAAAAAAGAAAUUAGAGACACCUGAAUAGGGAAUUCUUGAAUCUUGAUGGGUUAGCUUUGUUUGUGAAUAUCCCAGCUAAGAAGCUAAUGAAUAAACACAUGAGUCCGUCUUAGAGCAGAAAAAUCACAUUAACACUUUUUUUGUGGGUUUGCCUAGAAUCUGAUUAUUUAACAAAAUGGUACUAUUUCUAGUUUAAUGUAGACUCUUCUAUUGUACUGAUAGUGUCAAAUAUUAUGGGUUAAGAUUAA